Long non-coding RNA from Gadus macrocephalus (Pacific cod), 267 nucleotides. RefSeq lists it as uncharacterized. The record is from RefSeq and is a predicted model, not a curated record. NCBI's taxonomy places the organism in Eukaryota, Metazoa, Chordata, Actinopteri, Gadiformes, Gadidae. The transcript has 2 exons.
ACUACAGACCUAUUUGUCUAAACCCCAUCCUUACCCCCUACUUCCCUGACACCUUAAAUAUUCCCCAAGUACCCCAACACACCCCUCUCUUCCCACACACUUGGUCUCGCCCGUCUGACGUCACCCCCACACCGCACAAAUGUUCUUCCGGACUUCACGUCGGGUCCUCCCGCAGCCCCCGGCACCCGGAAGCCAGCGCAACCGUAACGUGGCGUCAUGAAAGUGUUUGAAUGUUCUGUGUGUGUUAAAUAAAAGGGUACUUGUAAA